Long non-coding RNA from Gopherus evgoodei (Goodes thornscrub tortoise), 262 nucleotides. RefSeq lists it as uncharacterized. The transcript is spliced from 3 exons. The record is from RefSeq and is a predicted model, not a curated record. NCBI's taxonomy places the organism in Eukaryota, Metazoa, Chordata, Testudines, Testudinidae.
GGGGCGGCAGCGGAGACAGAGAGGGAGGGGGGAGCCCCCCAGCUGGAGUCGGAUGAAGAGCCAAGCAGCCCCCCUGGAUGUGACUUGGAAGAGUCCUGCUUGCAUUUCCUGCUCUGUGCGAUAGCCCUCUUGUGAAUUGGGUCCAGGUACCAGUCAGGUGAGAGGAGCAACGGCCUCUGUGGGUGUCUUCACUUCCGUGCCGAAGGCCAUCUGUUUUGGGUGUUCGUUUAUUGCGUGUGAUGAAAGAUGGGGAAACUGAGGC